RNAcentral lists this transfer RNA (90 nucleotides) under Acidobacteriota bacterium. Its description in RNAcentral is "tRNA-Ser". It matches the Rfam family "tRNA". Rfam says of the family: Transfer RNA (tRNA) molecules are approximately 80 nucleotides in length. Their secondary structure includes four short double-helical elements and three loops (D, anti-codon, and T loops). RNAcentral also lists the same sequence under 4 other names. Lineage: Bacteria; Pseudomonadati; Acidobacteriota. The record is from RNAcentral.
GGAGAGAUGGCCGAGUGGUUGAAGGCGCACGCUUGGAAAGCGUGUAUAGGGGAAACUCUAUCCAGGGUUCGAAUCCCUGUCUCUCCGCCA